RNAcentral lists this transfer RNA (79 nucleotides) under Ignavibacteria bacterium. Its description in RNAcentral is "tRNA-Pro". It matches the Rfam family "tRNA". Rfam says of the family: Transfer RNA (tRNA) molecules are approximately 80 nucleotides in length. Their secondary structure includes four short double-helical elements and three loops (D, anti-codon, and T loops). Lineage: Bacteria; Pseudomonadati; Ignavibacteriota; Ignavibacteria. The record is from RNAcentral.
CGGGGUGUAGCUCAGUCCGGUUUAGAGCGCCUGCCUUGGGCGCAGGAGGUCGGAGGUUCGAAUCCUCUCACCCCGACGA